This 253-nucleotide ribosomal RNA is filed under the name uncultured bacterium. Its description in RNAcentral is "partial 16S ribosomal RNA". It matches the Rfam family "Bacterial small subunit ribosomal RNA", at positions 524 to 776 of the family's 1533-position model. The record is from RNAcentral.
UACGGAGGGUGCAAGCGUUGUUCGGAAUCAUUGGGCGUAAAGCGCGUGUAGGCGGCUAUCUAAGUCUGAUGUGAAAGCCCGGGGCUUAACCCCGGAAGUGCAUUGGAUACUGGAUGGCUAGAGGACGAGAGAGGGAAGUGGAAUUCCUGGUGUAGGGGUGAAAUCCGUAGAUAUCAGGAGGAACAUCGGAGGCGAAGGCGGCUUCCUGGCUCGUUUCUGACGCUGAGACGCGACAGCGUGGGGAGCGAACAGG